RNAcentral lists this ribosomal RNA (271 nucleotides) under uncultured soil bacterium. RNAcentral's name for it is "partial 16S ribosomal RNA". It matches the Rfam family "Bacterial small subunit ribosomal RNA", at positions 26 to 285 of the family's 1533-position model. The record is from RNAcentral.
AGAAUCAACGCUGGCGGCGUGCCUAACACAUGCAAGUCGAACGCGAAAGCCCCGAAAGGGGCAAGUAGAGUGGCAAACGGGUGAGUAACACGUGGGUGACCUGCCUUCGAGCGGGGGAUAACGUCCGAAAGGGACGCUAAUACCGCAUAACAUCCUGCCUUUGAAGAGGUGGAGAUCAAAGCUGGGGAUCGCAAGACCCGGCACUUGAAGAGGGGCCCGCGUCUGAUUAGCUAGUUGGUGGGGUAACGGCCUACCAAGGCAACGAUCAGUA